RNAcentral lists this transfer RNA (73 nucleotides) under Podiceps cristatus (great crested grebe). It matches the Rfam family "tRNA". From Rfam's summary of the family: Transfer RNA (tRNA) molecules are approximately 80 nucleotides in length. Their secondary structure includes four short double-helical elements and three loops (D, anti-codon, and T loops). Further hydrogen bonds mediate the characteristic L-shaped molecular structure. tRNAs have two regions of fundamental functional importance: the anti-codon, which is responsible for specific mRNA codon recognition, and the 3' end, to which the tRNAs corresponding amino acid is attached (by aminoacyl-tRNA synthetases). tRNAs cope with the degeneracy of the genetic code in two manners: having more than one tRNA (with a specific anti-codon) for a particular amino acid; and 'wobble' base-pairing, i.e. permitting non-standard base-pairing at the 3rd anti-codon position. The record is from Rfam by way of RNAcentral. Lineage: Eukaryota; Metazoa; Chordata; Aves; Podicipediformes; Podicipedidae.
GCGGUUAUGGUGAAAUGGUUAACACGCCUGAUUGUGGUCCAGGUAGUUAUGGGUUCAAAUCCCAUUAAUCGCC